This is a non-coding RNA of Paramormyrops kingsleyae, 1300 nucleotides long. NCBI's taxonomy places the organism in Eukaryota, Metazoa, Chordata, Actinopteri, Osteoglossiformes, Mormyridae. The record is from RefSeq and is a predicted model, not a curated record.
AAGAGCGAGUCUAAUAUCUGUGACACACAACAAUGUAGAAGUAGCAUUAAUGUAAGAAGGUGCAAACUAGUUACUUUGCUGUGAGAGGAUUAUUAUAUUCUCUAGGGAAGAUUCCGGAAUCCGGUGACAUGAGGACAGCUAUAAACUUUGGAUACCCUUUCUAUUAAAUUUGAUACAUUUGACUCACAGUUGAGUUUACUUGACGAACAAAUGAAUCGACAAUAAACACCACCUGCACUGAAAUACAGGAUGGGCUGUAGGAGGAGGAUGGAUGGAGAGAAACUGCAAUCUGGAGGAACGCGGACAGAGGCGGCACCAAGCACCUACCACGGGAGUUCAUGGGAUUAAACGUCUGGCCAGCUAAUUGAGACGGGCCGCUCAUACCAGACUGCUUACUUCGCCCGCUGAUCCUCGGUGAAGACAGACAGCAAAAUCCCUGUUUUCCACUUUGCCUGGAAUACACCAGUCCUCUGAUCAGAUUAGGAUUUUUUUUCUCUCUCUCUCAUGAAAUCCAUCUGAAGUCUACGAGGAACCCCGGAUGUGGAACGGUGGAGUCUCAGGCCGUAUUUUGCAUUCUGUUGUCUUAGUGCCAGGAAAAUGGGGGAGAGAGUUUAAGCCUGGGCUGACAGAUGAAGCUGGCUUGCUUUGCUCACAAGUGCAUUUAGCCUCUGGUCACCAUCAUGACCAGGACUGGCCAAAGAUGGACAUAUCGUGGCAUGGGAAAUGUGAUGCAGCACAUUCCAUAUCCACUGUGACAAUCCUGUCUUUCCUGUCGCUGUGGAAUUUCUUCUGCAGGAAAAUUCUCCUCGGCACACAUGGAAAUACCUUCGCAAAUUUGGCUGAACACAUACUUAACACACAGCUGCAGACUUAAUUAAUACCUCAAUAUAUCAAUAACAGCUGACGGCAACAAAAUCUGGGGAUCAUGGUGUACAGCUAUGGAUUAAUCCCAUUUUCAUAAUAAUUAACACACUUUGUCAGUGUAGGGAUAAACUGUUGUACUGUGAGUAUUGCCACAACUUUCAGAACACUUUGCCUGCGUCUGUAACUUCUUCACACUGCAAAGUUCACAAAGUGCUUAAGGAAACUGGCAUGGGUCUGAAAAAGGUUUGGAUGCCAAGAAGGGAUCAGCCUCAUCCACCUUUAAGCCAAAUUUGAACUGUUUUGGAAAAUACCCUGGUAUAUAAAAUUAAAAGCUGUGCACAUUCCUUUAUAUAAUAGUGGCUGCCAGGCAAAUAAAUAAUGUAUACAAAUAAAUAAUUGUUCCACAGUCCAUUUCGUCUGGCACAUUAGUCAUAUA